GCUAAACAUCAUUAUUUCAUGGGGCAGAGACUCUAGAGCACAGCAAUUCCUGAGCACAAGCCGUCUAAGUGUGGACAAAAGUCCUGCUUGUGGGGCAGACACAUCUUUUGUGCAUGAUUCCCAAUGCGAAUGCUUGAGGGGCAUGACACUGCACAGCUUGUUCAACAAUCGAUGCUCACUAUUGCAGCCUAGAAAUUCAAAAUUAUCAACACAAGGAGACAUUGCAU
RNAcentral lists this unclassified non-coding RNA (227 nucleotides) under Hevea brasiliensis (rubber tree). Lineage: Eukaryota; Viridiplantae; Streptophyta; Magnoliopsida; Malpighiales; Euphorbiaceae. The record is from RNAcentral.